GCACGCAUCAAAGGAGAUCGGGUACCAAAAUACCGAGGCAGAACGUAUUAUAAUACUAUAAAUCCAAUUUCGUUGUUCGGGAUAACAAUUUUUAGAAGCCCCUAUCUUGGCUAUACCUCAGUUCCAAAAAGCUCUCGCUCAACAGCCGCCGCGCCAUACCUAAACCCUGACCCUUGCCCCUGUCGUCCCCGCCGUCCCCGCCACCGGCCUCGCGCAAUAGCCGCUGCACAUGCCAGCCCUCGCGCCAUCUCCGCCACCGACCUCGCGCAACAGCCGCUGCGCCAUCCCGACCCUGACCCUUUCCCCUUUCGUCCCCACCACCGACCUCGCGCCCGCGGCAUCCGCGCCCGGCUGUUGCGGGCGGCGUCGUCCCAUCCGAAUCUCCCCCCUCUCCCUCAGAUAUAAAGGUUCGUCCUCCUCAGCACUGUCUCGAUUCGUUGAGGGUUCGUUGGAUUUGGGGGACGGUCGUCUUGUGGUCGCCACGCUGCCGUCCCUACUUCUCCUAGCGGUCGCCCUGCCAACCGCAAUGUCGUCGUCUGCAACUUCGACUCUGCCGUCCCUUUCUACUCAGUAGACGUCAUUUUCUCCGGACCUCUUGGACACGGAUCCUUCAGGCUCUCCUCCAGGCUCAAGCUACGCCUCGGCCGCGUGCCCCCUGGUCUCCAGACAUCGUGCGGAAAGGGGAAGAUCUCAGUUCUAUAUCCAAACAAGACUACCACCCCCAAGUCAGUUAAAGACCUUGAAUUUGAUGGUUUCUCCUUCACUACUGACCUUCGUGAGGUUUCUCCUUGACUACUGACCUUGAAUCUGCAAAACUUUAUUUUAUUGAAUCCAUUCUAUGGUUGUUAAUUUAGUUUUCACAUUGAAAUUUUGUGUAUUGUUGUUUUUUUUUUAUGUUUACAUGUGCAUAGUGUUUCCCUGUACUUAAAUUGGUUGUUCUGUUAAGAAGCUAUAUACAGAUCGUGUUUAGAAAUUCAUUGACAAAGUGCUAUGAUCCGUGAACUUAAGUCAGCUGUUCUGAAAUGUCCAUUCAUUUAAACGUAGCCUACUAAAACCGAGGUUCCUAUAAAGAUUCAUAGUAUAGGUUUUCGACUUCGUCUUCAUUUUUAAUUCUGAAUUGUUGCAUUCCCCACGGGUCUAGAGUAGUAGUUAGUUCUAUUAUGGUCUAUAUAUAUUUCUGUCUAUUGUACAUGUUCAUUUCAUGGUUGGAUUUCCAGCUCAUUUCCGAAAAGGUGGCUUAAUUGGGUUGCUUCUCAGUUUAUCUUCAGUUUUAAUUCUCGGUUUAUAUACAAUAUAUGUGAUGUUAUUUGCAAAUACUCGAGUUUAGGAUAAUAAACAAAGAUUCAAAAAAAUUCUCUCACUUGUUAUUCCCGUCCUUUUAGUAUGAAUUUUAAUAUAUAUUCACUUCAUUACCAUUACAAUCCUCACAAUGCACAAACAUUGUACUCACUUAGACGUUAUUUUUGUGAUUUUCACAUUGUAUUGUAAAUUGAUUUGUAUUAGUUUAAUUCUUCAUUUGUUGUUUUCAGAGAAUUUAUAAGAUUGUGAUCGAUAAUAUGUGUUACUUGUUUUUAUGUAAUCAUUGUGCACGAAUAAUUUGUGUGUCGUUGCAACGCACAGACACUUGACUAGUACCACUCUAUGUAUGGGUUUACACUUUACGUUUUCUUGUGCUAUGGGCCACCUAGCCAUUUCUAGGCCAGUUAUUUUCUACAGUUACUUUGCAAGGCUGCAGUCCCAUUCCACACAAUUUUUAAUGCAGUACAGUAUAGUACACUCCUUACUCCUACCAAUCAUAAGGUGAAACUCCCGCGCAUACCAAAUAUGGCAGUAACAAAUUGUCCGUAGUAGGAUUUGUCUACUGUACAAUGUACAUGUAUAGCAGCUCGUAUACGCCUUUUUUUUCUACAUGCUGUUUGUGUGCUUUAAACGGCUCUUGACCCACAAGACUACUAGCUCCCAAGAGAGCCGAGCGAAAUGCCUACCUGUCUAAACUCUCUAGAGCUCAACUCUGU
Molecule: long non-coding RNA, 2015 nt
Organism: Zea mays
Lineage: Eukaryota; Viridiplantae; Streptophyta; Magnoliopsida; Poales; Poaceae
Exons: 2
Source: RefSeq, a predicted model, not a curated record